AAGAAUUGUCAUGAUUACAAGAGUCAGACAUAGAGCAUACAAAAGUAGAUGAACAACCAGUAGAGGAAGAAGGGGAAGCUGGAAGCCAAGCAAGCUUGUAUAGACAAGCCUCCUCUUUACCAAGAUCCAGAGGCUUCCUCAGAGAAGGGUCAUGUAUCAUGUGGAUGAAGCAGGAAGUUGCAGUGAACAAAACUAUGCAAUUCAACUGUUUCGCUAACUUGUGGACAGAAAUCAAGUUGUGUUUAAAAGAAGGAACUAACAAGAC
This 265-nucleotide long non-coding RNA is filed under the name Nicotiana benthamiana. RNAcentral describes it as "long non-coding RNA (NBEN_LNC031340)". Lineage: Eukaryota; Viridiplantae; Streptophyta; Magnoliopsida; Solanales; Solanaceae. The record is from RNAcentral.